RNAcentral lists this ribosomal RNA (407 nucleotides) under uncultured bacterium. RNAcentral's name for it is "partial 16S ribosomal RNA". It matches the Rfam family "Bacterial small subunit ribosomal RNA", at positions 30 to 526 of the family's 1533-position model. The record is from RNAcentral.
AUUGAACGCUGGCGGCAGGCCUAACACAUGCAAGUCGAGCGGAGCGGCGGACGGGUGAGUAAUGCCUAGGAAUCUGCCUGGUAGUGGGGGAUAACGUCCGGCAACGGGCGCUAAUACCACAUACUAUCAGAUGAGCCUAGGUCGGAUAAGCUAGUUGGUGGGGUAAAGGCCUACCAAGGCGACGAUCCGUAACUGGUCUGAGAGGAGGCACAGUCACACUGGAACGUGGACACGGUCCGUACUCCUACGGGAGGCAGAAGUGGGGAAUAUUGGACAAGGGGGGAAAUCCUGAGCCAGCCAUGCCGGUUGUGGGAAGAAGGUCUUCGGAUUGUAAAGCACUUUAAGUUGGGAGGCGUUACCAACAGAAUAAGCACCGGCUAACUUCGUGCCAGCAGCCGCGGUAAUAC